AUGAAAAUGCAGAUCGAUCACAGGCUACCUCUACUGCUGGAGACCUGCUGUACAAGAUUUCAUUUCCAAAGGCAAAGAGGGGCGAAUGUGUUGCUAAACCACUCAAAGCAGCACCGACGUUUUUCCUGCUGGACCUGGGAAGGUAUAUGGAGGAACUUUGGAACAUUCCGGUCCCAGCGCCCCAUUGUGCAGAUUUUGAGCGGCCUGACAGAAGGGAGGUCAUCGAUGCUAUGGUUUCACGAUUCAACAACCCACAGCAAAGCUAGUGAUGCUAUGAAGAAGACCUGGAGACUUAAUCUGCUAGAGCUUCUGCACAGCUUCCGAGUGUGAUGAGAACAACAAAAAACAUGACAUCUCCCCAACCAUCUAUGGUCUUUUUAGCUUACUUCUACCAGGCUCUACAAACGUUCCUUUCAUUAGUCCAUCAGAAUGCCCCCCUCACUCACCAACUUGGACAAUAAACAUUGGACUGUUCUGAUAGGACUUAGAAAG
This 492-nucleotide long non-coding RNA is filed under the name Betta splendens (Siamese fighting fish). RNAcentral describes it as "lncRNA (ENSBSLG00000009060.1)". The record is from RNAcentral. Lineage: Eukaryota; Metazoa; Chordata; Actinopteri; Anabantiformes; Osphronemidae.